This 492-nucleotide ribosomal RNA is filed under the name uncultured bacterium. RNAcentral describes it as "partial 16S ribosomal RNA". It matches the Rfam family "Bacterial small subunit ribosomal RNA", at positions 29 to 507 of the family's 1533-position model. The record is from RNAcentral.
AGUGAACGCUGGCGGUAGGCCUAACACAUGCAAGUCGAACGGCAGCACAGUAAGAGCUUGCUCUUACGGGUGGCGAGUGGCGGACGGGUGAGGAAUACAUCGGAAUCUACUUUUUCGUGGGGGAUAACGUAGGGAAACUUACGCUAAUACCGCAUACGACCUACGGGUGAAAGCAGGGGAUCUUCGGACCUUGCGCGAUUGAAUGAGCCGAUGUCGGAUUAGCUAGUUGGCGGGGUAAAGGCCCACCAAGGCGACGAUCCGUAGCUGGUCUGAGAGGAUGAUCAGCCACACUGGAACUGAGACACGGUCCAGACUCCUACGGGAGGCAGCAGUGGGGAAUAUUGGACAAUGGGCGCAAGCCUGAUCCAGCCAUACCGCGUGGGUGAAGAAAGCCUUCGGGUUGUAAAGCCCUUUUGUUGGGAAAGAAAAGCAGCAGGUUAAUACCCCGCUGCUCUGACGGUACCCAAAGAAUAAGCACCGGCUAACUUCGUG